GGAGAUGUCAAGCAGGCCACCGAACAUGUGAAUCUGGAGUUCAGAGGAGAGAUCUGGCUGGAGAUGUACAUUUAGGAACGUACAUAGUAUUUAAAGCUACAGGCUGUCUAAGAUCAUCUGAGGGUAAAUACAGAGAAGGGAAAACAUUCUGAGAACUGAGCCCUGAGGCGCCCCAUCCACUGAGGUCAGGGAGACAAGGAGGCACUAGCAGAGGACACAGAGGAGCAGCCCGUGAAACGGGAGGAGAAAUAAGAGAGCGUGAUGUCUUGGAAGUCAAGCGAAGAGAGUUUCAAGGAGGAGACAGAGAUCAGCUGGGCAAAUGCUGUUAAGAGAUCAGUGCAGCAUACUGCUUUGGAGCAAAGGCUGUAGUCAGACGCCUUCGCUUGAAUCCUGAUUCCUCGGCUGGCCAGCCGGGACGCUUGGCAAGUUCUUAAGCUGAUACAUAGAAGUGAAUCUGAAACCCGUGGAAGGAGGAAGUCAGGACAGGAAAAUGGAAUGGCCGCCUGAACUGUCUAGCCACAGGAGUUCC
Molecule: long non-coding RNA, 529 nt
Filed under: Equus asinus (donkey)
Lineage: Eukaryota; Metazoa; Chordata; Mammalia; Perissodactyla; Equidae
Description: lncRNA (ENSEASG00005027457.1)
Source: RNAcentral